Molecule: ribosomal RNA, 253 nt
Filed under: uncultured bacterium
Lineage: Bacteria
Description: partial 16S ribosomal RNA
Rfam family: Bacterial small subunit ribosomal RNA
Source: RNAcentral
UACGUAGGUGACAAGCGUUAUCCGGAAUUACUGGGCGUAAAGCGCACGCAGGCGGUGCGGUAAGUCUGAUGUGAAAUCUCCCGGCUUAACUGGGAGGGGUCAUUGGAAACUGCCGAGCUUGAGGCGAUGAGAGGGGUGUAGAAUUCCCGGUGUAGUGGUGGAAUGCGUAGAUAUCGGGAGGAAUACCAGUGGCGAAAGCGGCACCCUGGCAUUAGCCUGACGCUCAUGUGCGAAGGCGUGGGGAGCGAACGGG